RNAcentral lists this ribosomal RNA (497 nucleotides) under uncultured bacterium. Its description in RNAcentral is "partial 16S ribosomal RNA". It matches the Rfam family "Bacterial small subunit ribosomal RNA", at positions 28 to 507 of the family's 1533-position model. The record is from RNAcentral.
GAUGAACGCUGGCGGCGUGCCUAAUACAUGCAAGUCGAGCGAACAGAUGAGGAGCUUGCUCCUCUGACGUUAGCGGCGGACGGGUGAGUAACACGUGGAUAACCUACCUAUAAGACUGGGAUAACUUCGGGACACCGGCGCUAAUACCGGAUAAUAUAUUGAACCGCAUGGUUCAAUAGUGAAAGACGGUUUUGCUGUCACUUAUAGAUGGAUCCGCGCCGCAUUAGCUAGUAGGUAAGGUAACGGCUUACCAAGGCAACGAUGCGUAGCCGACCUGAGAGGGGGAUAGGCCACACGAGAACGGAGACACGCUCAAGAGUCCUAAGGGAGGCAGCAGUAGGGAAUCGGCCGCAAUGGGGGAAAGCCUGACGGAGCAACGCCGCGUGAGUGAUGAAGGUCUUGGGAGCGUAAAAAUCUGUUAUUAGGGAAGAACAAAUGUGUAAGUAACUAUGCACGUCUUGACGGUACCUAAUCAGAAAGCCACGGCUAACUACGUG